CCUACGGGAGGCAGCAGUAGGGAAUAUUGCUCAAUGGGGGAAACCCUGAAGCAGCAACGCCGCGUGGAGGAUGAAUGUUUUAGGAUUGUAAACUCCUUUUGUUAGAGAAGAUUAUGACGGUAUCUAACGAAUAAGCACCGGCUAACUCCGUGCCAGCAGCCGCGGUAAUACGGAGGGUGCAAGCGUUACUCGGAAUCACUGGGCGUAAAGAGUGCGUAGGCGGGGUAAUAAGUCAGAUGUGAAAUCCUGUAGCUUAACUACAGAACUGCAUUUGAAACUGUUACUCUGGAGUGUGGGAGAGGUAGGUGGAAUUCUUGGUGUAGGGGUAAAAUGCGUAGAGAUCAAGAGGAAUACUCAUUGCGAAGGCGACCUGCUGGAACAUUACUGACGCUGAUGCACGAAAGCGUGGGGAGCAAACAGGAUUAGAUACUCGGGUAGUC
RNAcentral lists this ribosomal RNA (440 nucleotides) under uncultured bacterium. RNAcentral's name for it is "partial 16S ribosomal RNA". It matches the Rfam family "Bacterial small subunit ribosomal RNA", at positions 338 to 795 of the family's 1533-position model. The record is from RNAcentral.